Molecule: long non-coding RNA, 3114 nt
Organism: Motacilla alba alba
Lineage: Eukaryota; Metazoa; Chordata; Aves; Passeriformes; Motacillidae
Exons: 5
Source: RefSeq, a predicted model, not a curated record
UUUUUCUUCCAGAUCUUGUACUGCUCGCUGAUGGCACGCUCCUCCACCGCGUCCUCCAGCACUGCAGUAAGGGAAGGAUGAGCCGAAGGAUCUGGAAAUCAAGUUGGAUUGUAAUAGGUUCCAGAACUAGUACUAGCUUUGGUGAACAAAACCUGUUACAUCUAGAUGUCAAAAUGUUUGCUGACUGCUGCAGAUUGUACUGAAUUUCAAGCUGCAAAUGAGAGGAAAUCCUGUAGCAGUCUUGUGGACUCUUUCAGUAUUCAGGAAUAUAGAGUGUUUUACCUUUGAAGUGGAAUAUGUUUAUUCGGGUUUGAAAUACCAAGAACCACAGUCCUGCACAGAGUGUGCAUUAAUGGACAGGCGUCACAUCAGACAUCUGCGCAGCUUUUUGCUUUGGGAGGCGGAGGCUCAGCAGAGGAACUGUGGAUUCACAGCCUGGGCAUCAUGUAAGGGAAGAAGGAACAGGCAGACACAUCUGCUGAGACCAGACAUCAGCUUGCCCCUCAUUUUUCUGGGAUAACAGCAGCUUAACAGGAAGCCUGAGGAAGUGCCAAAGUAGCUACUGUCUCAGAGGAAAGCGAGAAAUCAGCUGCUGCCACUGAAAUCUUGCAAAUGCUGGGCAACAGAGCUGGUUUGGGAGUUGGUGCCAUACAGGAGGUCAAAGUUUUAUUCAGGAUUCUCAUCUAUUUGUGUUUAGAAUGCAGCAGGACCUUGAUAAUGCCUACUAAGUGAUCUUUGAGCAUAAGACACAGACUGCCAAUGGGUCUUUGACCCUUUCUGCUAACAGGAUCAUGCUUGAUCACUUCAGAAAUUCUUACUAGCAUAGAGAACUUGUGUUAAAAGAGGACAAAAAACAAACCUUUUUUUGGCACAGGUGUUCCUGCCAAGCAAGGGGAAAAGCAAAAUAAGAGACUCCAUGAAAAUUAAUGAAUAUACUGCAUAGCAACUAACAUUUGGCUUAUUGCAUGGAGUAAUGCUGAAAUAAGCAGAGGGCUUACAGCAUUCUGCAAAUUAAUUUUCUCAUGGGAAAGUGAGGGCUAGAAGCACCAUAUAUCUGUGCCAUCAGCUGGGUGAAGCCAUGUCUAACUAAGCUUUACACCAGCAAGUGCUGUGGAACUCUGUGCAAGUGGGCUAUUGGCUGUAUUUCUAGACUUUUUUGAAGAAUGGAAAUAUCUGGGUUUGUGUGCAUGUUGCUUUCCACCAAAAUUGUCCUUUUCUCCCCAAAACAAAGCAGAUAUGGAAAGAAAAAGCAAAGGAAUGCGGGAAAAACACAUCUCUCAUAGCUAAAACAUUCUGUUUCUUGUGAUGUCCUGUUUGCUGAAGGAUGAACAGUGACAGACUUUCUGGGCCAUUUUGAUCUACACAGCUGUAUGAUAAUAGCAUCUGCACUGACCACACCAAUUCAGGAUAUUGAUUUGGAAGGGUUUGACAGAGUUACCAGAGCCAGCUCUUUCUCUGCAUAAGCAAUCGUGCCAUAUAUUUCCACCCAAACUUAUCCAAUUUCACUUUCAAAACUAUUAAUUAUGUUUAACUUGCUGUAUCUAUAUUGGAGAACUCCAUUUUCCCACAAUUACCCAAACCUGAAACUUCUCAAGGAAGUGUUGUGAGAACAGAAUCAAAAUUCCUGAUCCAUUCAGCUCAAGACAAGAGCAAAGUGUUACAUAACUGGAGAUACACAGUCCUAUAGGUUGUUAGUGCAACAAAAGACAGUACAAGACCGUAGGCAGGCAGAACAUAAUUUUAAUUUACAAUUCCCUAAGUAAGUUGAUUUUACCCACUCACACUCUCAUGCCCACAUACUUAAAAGCACUAAGACAUGCAUGCCUGACCAGUUUUGCCAGGAUCACUUGUAUGCCAUGGAAGGCAGUAGCAAAUAGCUUUCAGGUCCUCACUACAUCUCUUGGGUUCCUCUCUAUGGGUGACAACAAAUAGGUUUGGACAGGUUUUUAAACCCCCUAGGCAUCAGCUGUUAUUAAGGGACUUCAUUUUUGCUGAACAACCUUGUUUAUUUUAUCCUCUGUAAAUAUUCAAUAAGAUUUUUGCCUGUUCUAUUUGCUUCUUCAUUUCACAUAUCUUUAUGACUAUGGUCUGUCUUAAUGCUGAGAUAACAGGGAGGGGAAUGGCUCUUCCACUGUGCUGCAGCUUUGCUGCUUUGCUCUGUUCUUUCUUCCAGUGCUGUUGUGGAUUUCCACCCAGACCAAUUCCAGUAUUUCUGUUGUCUAGCUUUAUACACUGUAAUGGCAAAAAAAGCUUUUCCACCUUUUGCUGUUAAGAAACUUGCAAUACAUCUGAGCUUACUUGGCUGAGGAUCCAAGGCUAUGGCCCAGAAAACUUUGAGCUGCAUGCCAGAUCUGCUCUCAAGUGCAUUACCUCAAGGGACAUCAUUUGAGUGUAACUAAUUAUCACUCUGCAGUGAAGUCAACUGAACAUCUUUUUACAUGCCUGGAUACCUGCCUUUGACCUGAGGCUACUACUCCUGCUUUCUAACCAGUAUUCCUCCUAAUAUCCCAAAGAAAAAGGUGGGUGGAUGUCUCACAGCUUAUAUGAAAAUACAAAGCUUAUAUGAAGAAAUUAUACUUUUUAUUGUCAAAACUGAAACUCCCCCUCCCCCCAAACCAAGCAUUCAAACUCAGUUCUUUCAGCAGGUCACUCAGGGUACAAAAACAUUUUAAUGAUUACUAAUGUAAUCCUUGCAAAUACAUAUUUCAAGCUGUUUCUUCUUGCUGCCUACAUUCAGGGGUGCAGAUGGGCUGUGUCAGGUCAGCUGCAGAAUAAAAUUGAACCUUUCUUACAUUUUCCCUAAGUUCUCCAUUUUUAGUGCGUGUGGAAAAAAUUUGGUAAAGACCUUUUAAAAUCUGUACUUCAUUAUUUUCUCCUAAGAUUAGGCACACUAGGGUUUGACACUUUUUCAGUUAUUACAGGUUGUUGACCAUUUCAAACUGACAUUCAUUGUCUCUGAAAAUAAAGAGUAUUCAGUUCAAAUUGCAAAAAAUGUUAGUCACAAGACAGGAAUUGCCAAUAUAAGAGACUUACCUCUGAAAGAUAACCUGGUGGAAAACGUUUUGCCAUCUGGAAUAUGGGAUUUGUUAUCCUGGCUUGAAUCAGUCUAGUGGA